GAUGAACGCUGGCGGCGUGCCUAAUACAUGCAAGUCGAGCGAACGGACGAGAAGCUUGCUUCUCUGAUGUUAGCGGCGGACGGGUGAGUAACACGUGGAUAACCUACCUAUAAGACUGGGAUAACUUCGGGAAACCGGAGCUAAUACCGGAUAAUAUUUUGAACCGCAUGGUUCAAAAGUGAAAGACGGUCUCGCUGUCACUUAUAGAUGGAUCCGCGCUGCAUUAGCUAGUUGGUAAGGUAACGGCUUACCAAGGCAACGAUGCAUAGCCGACCUGAGAGGGUGACCGGCCACACUGGAACUGAGACACGGUCCAGACUCCUACGGGAGGCAGCAGUAGGGAAUCUUCCGCAAUGGGCGAAAGCCUGACGGAGCAACGCCGCGUGAGUGAUGAAGGUCUUCGGAUCGUAAAACUCUGUUAUUAGGGAAGAACAUAUGUGUAAGUAACUGUGCACAUCUUGACGGUACCUAAUCAGAAAGCCACGGCUAACUACGUG
RNAcentral lists this ribosomal RNA (497 nucleotides) under uncultured bacterium. RNAcentral describes it as "partial 16S ribosomal RNA". It matches the Rfam family "Bacterial small subunit ribosomal RNA", at positions 28 to 507 of the family's 1533-position model. The record is from RNAcentral.